CAAAUUAAAAUUUACCCUAAUAAUAAUAAUAUAAAAAUGUAAAGAACAUGCUUGAACUAUAAACUAUUUUGAUUCGACUAUCCAACUUUUUAGAAUUUUGAUUUUAGUACCCAAGCCCUUUAAUUUAUUAAAUUUAAGUUAUUUGAUGAUUAUUUUGAUACUAACUAAACAUGCAAAGAUAAAAUAAUAAAUUUUAAUUUUUGAAGUAAAGAAUCAUUAGUUGACUUAAAUCAAAUAAAACAAAAAUUCAUAUGGCAGAAAUUAAAACUUCUAAAAAUAGAUAAUAGUUAAGAUAAAUUAUAUACAAAAUUUACCCAAUCAUAUAUAUUUUUAGGGUAAAUUUCAGAUACCACUCUUAUGGUUUCACACUUUCUCACUUUAGUACCAUGUGGCUUAAAGUGUGUCAAGUUAGUGUCCUGUGAUUUUAUUUUUAUCUUUUCGUCAGUUUUUCUGUUAACAUUUCAUUAAAUUAUAUAUAAAAAACUUUACCUAGAUUUAUCAAAUAUUCACUUUAAUUAGUACCGUUUAGUUUUAACUUUGUCACUGAUUUAACGAAAAAAAUUAGUAAAAUCGAUAAUAAAAAAAAAUCAUAAAACACUAAUUUGAUACACUUUAAACCACAUGAUACUAAAGUUACAAAAUAUAAAACCACAUAUCAUAGGUGGUAUUUAAAAUUUUUUCAUAAUUUUUAUUUAACGGGCUUUAACUACCAACAAC
RNAcentral lists this long non-coding RNA (717 nucleotides) under Ananas comosus (pineapple). RNAcentral's name for it is "long non-coding RNA (ACOM_LNC018712)". The record is from RNAcentral. Lineage: Eukaryota; Viridiplantae; Streptophyta; Magnoliopsida; Poales; Bromeliaceae.